GUCCCCUUCGUCUAGAGGCCCAGGACACUGCCCUUUCACGGCGGUAACAGGGGUUCGAAUCCCCUUGGGGACGCCA
This 76-nucleotide transfer RNA is filed under the name Gammaproteobacteria bacterium. RNAcentral describes it as "tRNA-Glu". It matches the Rfam family "tRNA". Rfam says of the family: Transfer RNA (tRNA) molecules are approximately 80 nucleotides in length. Lineage: Bacteria; Pseudomonadati; Pseudomonadota; Gammaproteobacteria. The record is from RNAcentral.